ACAUCGGUAGCACAGUGGUUAGUGCAGUCUGCCGGAAACAGAGAGUCGCGGGUUCAAUUCCUGUCCGAUGUC
RNAcentral lists this transfer RNA (72 nucleotides) under Nippostrongylus brasiliensis. It matches the Rfam family "tRNA". Rfam says of the family: Transfer RNA (tRNA) molecules are approximately 80 nucleotides in length. The record is from Rfam by way of RNAcentral. Lineage: Eukaryota; Metazoa; Nematoda; Chromadorea; Rhabditida; Heligmosomidae.